RNAcentral lists this ribosomal RNA (253 nucleotides) under uncultured bacterium. RNAcentral's name for it is "partial 16S ribosomal RNA". It matches the Rfam family "Bacterial small subunit ribosomal RNA", at positions 524 to 776 of the family's 1533-position model. The record is from RNAcentral.
UACGUAGGGGGCAAGCGUUGUCCGGAAUUAUUGGGCGUAAAGCGCGCGCAGGCGGUUCUUUAAGUCUGAUGUGAAAGCCCGUGGCUCAACCACGGAGGGUCAUUGGAAACUGGGGAGCUUGAGUACAGAAGAGGAGAGUGGAAUUCCACGUGUAGCGGUGAAAUGCGUAGAUAUGUGGAGGAACACCAGUGGCGAAAGCGGCUCUCUGGUCUGUAACUGACGCUGAGGCGCGAAAGCGUGGGGAGCAAACAGG